UUGUGUUAAGGUAGCAGGUUGUUGCCUUAAACAAGGUUCUUGUUUAAGGCAACAACCUGCUACCUUAAUUUUA
Molecule: small RNA, 73 nt
Filed under: Olea europaea subsp. europaea
Lineage: Eukaryota; Viridiplantae; Streptophyta; Magnoliopsida; Lamiales; Oleaceae
Source: RNAcentral